CAGUUUGCACUGAUGUGAACGUGUUUCCACAGUGUAUGACUAGUUAUAGUGAUUUUACCCGCUUUGCACUAUCGUGAAUGUGUUUCCAUAGUGUAUGACCAGAUUAUCAGAGGUCUUUAAGACCCACUCUUAUACACAUAUAGGCUUUGGACCGUGUACUAGGGUGAUUAGCCUUUGGGCAGCUCUGCGUACGUAUGACCAGAUUAUCAGCUAUCAGAUUAUCAGAUUUGAAUGGCUUUGCCUUGUACAUUGAGAUUACUCUGUACAUGUGCAAGGCUAUUCAUUGGGUACUCUUUUUGGUCUGAUAUUUCAGUAUUUAUUCAGUUCUCAGAUUUCAGAUUAUGGAAUUCAGU
Molecule: long non-coding RNA, 353 nt
Filed under: Olea europaea (common olive)
Lineage: Eukaryota; Viridiplantae; Streptophyta; Magnoliopsida; Lamiales; Oleaceae
Description: long non-coding RNA (OEUR_LNC009725)
Source: RNAcentral